Hibiscus syriacus is the source of this 1635-nucleotide long non-coding RNA. RefSeq lists it as uncharacterized. The record is from RefSeq and is a predicted model, not a curated record. NCBI's taxonomy places the organism in Eukaryota, Viridiplantae, Streptophyta, Magnoliopsida, Malvales, Malvaceae. The transcript is spliced from 5 exons.
UCCAAAACUUUCUCGCAGCCCUUGCUCCACACAGAGAACACCGUAAAUUCUUUCUCCCGUCCUUGCUCCACACCGACGACUGUUUGGAAUCCUUCUCACCGGCGAGGCGGACGGUCGUCUUCUAAGAGUGUUAAUAGAGUUAUGAAUCCUUGGGCUCUUUAUCUUCAAAAACUGGGUCUGGAGCUUAAAUGUCCUCUCUGUUUGAAUUUGUUUAAACGAUCAUUGUUGAUACCGUGCGACCAUCUGUUUUGCGAUACGUGCAUAGCCAGAACUGAGUUUGGCUCAGAGUGCCCUAUUUGCAAAGACCAAUCUGCAGAUCGAGGUAAUUUUCAUUUAAUUACUUCUAUUUGUUUUUUUUUUUUGAUAAUUCAAUCAUAUAUUACCCAAAGAGCAAGAAAUGCUACAAAAUCAGUGUUCAAAUUACAGGUUACAAGGAAUGCUAAUUACAAAAUUUACAGAAAUCAAAUAAUACCCCAAUUGUUACAAAGAGUGAUAUUAGUGGGAUCUAAUCUAUUAAUGUUUCUUCCCUUAAUUGAAAACCAACUGUUUCCUUAAUUGCAUGAAACAAAUCUUCAAUGGUUCUUGAACGUUCUUGAAAAAUCCUUUUGUUUCGUUCCUCCCAAAGAGAGUAGAUAAGGGCAUUGGAAGCAAUCUUUAGAAUGUAUGUGAGAAGGGAUUUACCCUUCCAUUUAGCAGCAGCCCAAGCAAGGAGAUCAUUCCAUGACAACAGAUUGUUUUGCAAACCAUUAAGAGAGAAGACAGCAGUCCAUAAUGAACUAGUUGCAGGACAUUCGAAGAAGAGAUGAUUCCUAGUUUCCAUAGCAGCACCACAGAAAACACAAUGACAAUCAUUAAGGAGACCCAUGCGUUGUAACCUUUCUUUUGUUGGAAGCCUAUCAAGGAAAACCAUCCAAGUAAUUAAAUUGUGUUUGGGGACGUGAAGAGGGAACCAUAUCAGCUUAUGCCAUUGGACUUUGGGGGACUUAACCCUGAUAACAUCCAAGUAAUAAAAUGUUGUUGGGAGCUAAAUAAGUUCCUUUUGAUCAAGUUUGCGAACAUGAUUGGUGCAACUGUAUCCAAGUUUUGGAAGCCAGAUGUCACUCAUGUGAUUACUUCUACAGAUGGGAAUGGUGCAUACACCAGGACACUUAAAAGUUCUCAUGGCCAUUUCAAACAGGAAGUGGAUUCUUAAUAUAAAUUUUAAGUUCAAUUGUUCCUUUUUCCACUCUAUAUUCAUAAGCAUCUGUUUCUUUUACUUUGUUGAAUGUGUUCUGGUUGAAGUUCAAACACUAAAACAAUAAGUUGUAUCGUCACCACUGAUAUGUAAGCUUAACUUUACAGGGGUAAAGGAGUGCUUGAAAGCCAUGCAUCCUUUGAGUGAGGAACCUUACAGUUAGUCUCGAUAACCACAGGUGUCGUGAUGGCCCUAAAACUGGCAGACUCGGUAUUGAAUGAUGUAAGUUUAUCUGCUAGUUUUUAAAGUUGGCAACACUAUUAUCUUUUGCUUCGCAAGCAAAGUUGGCAACCAGAGUUUGUUUACCCAGUCCCAGAGUUUGUUUACCUAAUGGAAGGACUGUAAUUAUUAUAACAAUUUAAAACCCAUUAGUAUCUCCUAACAAUCAAUUGGCCCAGUAG